GGCUUGGUAGCUCAACUGAAUAGAGCGUCAUACUUCGGAUGUGAAGGUUAUGGGUUUGAAUCCCCUCCGGGCCA
RNAcentral lists this transfer RNA (74 nucleotides) under Patescibacteria group bacterium. RNAcentral's name for it is "tRNA-Arg". It matches the Rfam family "tRNA". From Rfam's summary of the family: Transfer RNA (tRNA) molecules are approximately 80 nucleotides in length. Their secondary structure includes four short double-helical elements and three loops (D, anti-codon, and T loops). The record is from RNAcentral.